RNAcentral lists this ribosomal RNA (253 nucleotides) under uncultured bacterium. RNAcentral's name for it is "partial 16S ribosomal RNA". It matches the Rfam family "Bacterial small subunit ribosomal RNA", at positions 524 to 776 of the family's 1533-position model. The record is from RNAcentral.
UACGGAGGGUGCAAGCGUUAUCCGGAAUUAUUGGGCGUAAAGGGCGCGUAAGCGGUGCCACAAGUCACCUGUGAAAUCUCCGGGCUCAACCUGGGAACUGCAUUUGUGACUGCACGGCUGGAGUGCGGCAGAGGGGGAUGGAAUUCCGCGUGUAGCAGUGAAAUGCGUAGAUAUGCGGAGGAAUACCGAUGGCGAAGGCAAUCCCCUGGGCCUGCACUGACGCUCAUGCACGAAAGCGUGGGGAGCAAACAGG